Molecule: ribosomal RNA, 378 nt
Filed under: uncultured cyanobacterium
Lineage: Bacteria; Bacillati; Cyanobacteriota
Description: bacterial SSU rRNA
Rfam family: Bacterial small subunit ribosomal RNA
Source: RNAcentral
CGAAAGCCUGACGGAGCCAGACCGCGUGGGGGAGGAAGGCCCUUGGGUUGUAAACCCCUUUUCUCAGGGAAGAAACCUGACGGUACCUGAGGAAAAAGCCUCGGCUAACUCCGUGCCAGCAGCCGCGGUAAUACGGAGGAGGCAAGCGUUAUCCGGAAUUAUUGGGCGUAAAGCGUCCGCAGGUGGCUAGUCAAGUCUGCUGUCAAAGACCAGGGCUUAACCCUGGGCCGGCAGUGGAAACUGGUUAGCUGGAGUACGGUAGGGGUAGAGGGAAUUCCUGGUGUAGCGGUGAAAUGCGUAGAUAUCAGGAAGAACACCGGUGGCGAAAGCGCUCUACUGGGUCGCACCUGACCCUCAGGGACGAAAGCUAAGGUAGCG